This 468-nucleotide ribosomal RNA is filed under the name uncultured bacterium. RNAcentral describes it as "partial 16S ribosomal RNA". It matches the Rfam family "Bacterial small subunit ribosomal RNA", at positions 28 to 507 of the family's 1533-position model. The record is from RNAcentral.
GACGAACGCUGGCGGCGUGCUUAACACAUGCAAGUCGAACGGAAAGGCCCUGCUUUUGUGGGGUGCUCGAGUGGCGAACGGGGGAGUAACACGUGAGUAACCUGCCACUGACCUUGGGAUAACUUCAGGAAACUGGGGCUAAUACCGGAUAGGAGUUCCUGCUGCAGGGUGGGGGCUGGAAAGUUUCGGCGGUUGGGGAUGGACUCGCGGCUUAUCAGCUUGUUGGUUUGGUAGUGGCUUAGCAAGGCUUUGCAGGGUGGCCUGCCUGAGAGGCGGAGCGGCCCCAUCGCGCUUGGACUGCGACCCGGCCUCGACCGGGAGGCAGCGGUGCAGUGUAGUGCACAGUGGGCGGAGGCCUGGUGCGGCAACGCCGCGUGCGGGAAGACGGCCUUCGGUUUGUAUACCACUUUCGCCUGUGACGAAGCGUUAGUGACGGUACUGGGUGAAGAAGCACCGGCUAACUACGUG